This 508-nucleotide ribosomal RNA is filed under the name uncultured bacterium. RNAcentral's name for it is "partial 16S ribosomal RNA". It matches the Rfam family "Bacterial small subunit ribosomal RNA", at positions 28 to 523 of the family's 1533-position model. The record is from RNAcentral.
GAUGAACGCUAGCUACAGGCUUAACACAUGCAAGUCGAGGGGAAACGAUAGAGAAAGCUUGCUUUUUCUAGGCGUCGACCGGCGCACGGGUGAGUAACGCGUAUCCAACCUGCCCAUCACUUGGGGAUAACCUUGCGAAAGUAAGACUAAUACCCAAUGAUAUCUCAAGAAGACAUCUGAAUGAGAUUAAAGAUUUAUCGGUGAUGGAUGGGGAUGCGUCUGAUUAGCUUGUUGGCGGGGUAACGGCCCACCAAGGCGACGAUCAGUAGGGGUUCUGAGAGGAAGGUCCCCCACAUUGGAACUGAGACACGGUCCAAACUCCUACGGGAGGCAGCAGUGAGGAAUAUUGGUCAAUGGGCGAGAGCCUGAACCAGCCAAGUAGCGUGCAGGAUGACGGCCCUAUGGGUUGUAAACUGCUUUUAUAAGGGAAUAAAGUGAGCCUCGAGGGGCUUUUUGCAUGUACCUUAUGAAUAAGGACCGGCUAAUUCCGUGCCAGCCGCCGCCGUAA